RNAcentral lists this ribosomal RNA (878 nucleotides) under uncultured Planctomycetota bacterium. RNAcentral describes it as "bacterial SSU rRNA". It matches the Rfam family "Bacterial small subunit ribosomal RNA", at positions 8 to 896 of the family's 1533-position model. The record is from RNAcentral. Lineage: Bacteria; Pseudomonadati; Planctomycetota.
AGAGUUUGAUCCUGGCUCAGAAUGAACGUUGGCGGCGUGGAUUAGGCAUGCAAGUCGUGCGGAAAGGCUCCUUCGGGAGUACUCGAGCGGCGAAAGGGAGAGUAACGCGUGGAUAUCUACCCUCGGAUCUGGGAUAGCGGCGGGAAACUGCCGGUAAUACCAGAUAAUGUCUCCGGACCAAAGGUGUAAUUCCGUCCGAGGAUGAGUCCGCGUCCUAUUAGCUUGUUGGUGGGGUAAUGGCCUACCAAGGCUGUGAUGGGUACCGGGUGUGAGAGCAUGGCCCGGCUCACUGGGACUGAGACACUGCCCAGACACCUACGGGUGGCUGCAGUCGAGAAUCUUCGGCAAUGGGCGCAAGCCUGACCGAGCGACGCCGCGUGCGGGAUGAAGGCCUUCGGGUUGUAAACCGCUGUCAGAGGGGAGGAAAUGCAUGGGGGUUCUCCCCUGUGUUUGACCUAUCCUCAGAGGAAGUACGGGCUAAGUUCGUGCCAGCAGCCGCGGUAAUACGAACCGUACGAACGUUAUUCGGAAUCACUGGGCUUAAAGAGUGCGUAGGCGGCUUGGAAAGUUGGGUGUGAAAUCCCUCGGCUCAACCGAGGAAUUGCGCCCAAAACUUCCUGGCUUGAGGGAGGCAGAGGUAAGCGGAACUAAUGGUGGAGCGGUGAAAUGCGUUGAUAUCAUUAGGAACACCUGAGGCGAAAGCAGCUUACUGGGUCUCUUCUGACGCUGAGGCACGAAAGCUAGGGGAGCGAACGGGAUUAGAUACCCCGGUAGUCCUAGCUGUAAACGAUGAGCACUGGAUUGAGGGGACUUCCACAUCCUCUCGGUCGUAGCGAAAGUGUUAAGUGCUCCGCCUGGGGAGUAUGGUCGCAAGGCAA